UUAUUCUCACAGUGAUAAGAGAAAGCUGCAAUACAUCUAUUCCGUUUUUGACACGAAUUUUGUAAAUUUCAUAUUUUGUGGGACAAUUAGAAAAUCUUGCAUUAUAAUUUUAUUACUUGGGCGAAUAGGGGCUUUCUCAAGGCGAACAGAAUGAGCAGGAAUUAACUGGUUUUGCACCCAUUCUUUGAAGAAAUCACCUCCCAUAGUUUUAUGGCAACCUCUUAUCAUUG
Zophobas morio is the source of this 230-nucleotide long non-coding RNA. RefSeq lists it as uncharacterized. The transcript has 3 exons. Lineage: Eukaryota; Metazoa; Arthropoda; Insecta; Coleoptera; Tenebrionidae. The record is from RefSeq and is a predicted model, not a curated record.